GAUGAACGCUGGCGGCGUGCCUAAUACAUGCAAGUCGAGCGAACGGACGAGAAGCUUGCUUCUCUGAUGUUAGCGGCGGACGGGUGAGUAACACGUGGAUAACCUACCUAUAAGACUGGGAUAACUUCGGGAAACCGGAGCUAAUACCGGAUAAUAUUUUGAACCGCAUGGUUCAAAAGUGAAAGACGGUCUUGCUGUCACUUAUAGAUGGAUCCGCGCUGCAUUAGCUAGUUGGUAAGGUAACGGCUUACCAAGGCAACGAUGCAUAGCCGACCUGAGAGGGUGAUCGGCCACACUGGAACUGAGACACGGUCCAGACUCCUACGGGAGGCAGCAGUAGGGAAUCUUCCGCAAUGGGCGAAAGCCUGACGGAGCAACGCCGCGUGAGUGAUGAAGGUCUUCGGAUCGUAAAACUCUGUUAUUAGGGAAGAACAUAUGUGUAAGUAACUGUGCACAUCUUGACGGUACCUAAUCAGAAAGCCACGGCUAACUACGUGCCAACAGCCGCGGUAAUACGUAGGUGGCAAGCGUUAUCCGGAAUUAUUGGGCGUAAAGCGCGCGUAGGCGGUUUUUUAAGUCUGAUGUGAAAGCCCACGGCUCAACCGUGGAGGGUCAUUGGAAACUGGAAAACUUGAGUGCAGAAGAGGAAAGUGGAAUUCCAUGUGUAGCGGUGAAAUGCGCAGAGAUAUGGAGGAACACCAGUGGCGAAGGCGACUUUCUGGUCUGUAACUGACGCUGAUGUGCGAAAGCGUGGGGAUCAAACAGGAUUAGAUACCCUGGUAGUCCACGCCGUAAACGAUGAGUGCUAAGUGUUAGGGGGUUUCCGCCCCUUAGUGCUGCAGCUAACGCAUUAAGCACUCCGCCUGGGGAGUACGACCGCAAGGUUGAAACUCAAAGGAAUUGACGGGGACCCGCACAAGCGGUGGAGCAUGUGGUUUAAUUCGAAGCAACGCGAAGAACCUUACCAAAUCUUGACAUCCUUUGACAACUCUAGAGAUAGAGCCUUCCCCUUCGGGGGACAAAGUGACAGGUGGUGCAUGGUUGUCGUCAGCUCGUGUCGUGAGAUGUUGGGUUAAGUCCCGCAACGAGCGCAACCCUUAAGCUUAGUUGCCAUCAUUAAGUUGGGCACUCUAAGUUGACUGCCGGUGACAAACCGGAGGAAGGUGGGGAUGACGUCAAAUCAUCAUGCCCCUUAUGAUUUGGGCUACACACGUGCUACAAUGGACAAUACAAAGGGCAGCGAAACCGCGAGGUCAAGCAAAUCCCAUAAAGUUGUUCUCAGUUCGGAUUGUAGUCUGCAACUCGACUACAUGACGCUGGAAUCGCUAGUAAUCGUAGAUCAGCAUGCUACGGUGAAUACGUUCCCGGGUCU
This 1372-nucleotide ribosomal RNA is filed under the name uncultured bacterium. Its description in RNAcentral is "bacterial SSU rRNA". It matches the Rfam family "Bacterial small subunit ribosomal RNA", at positions 28 to 1381 of the family's 1533-position model. The record is from RNAcentral.